UACUACUGUCCAUCUACACUGCAUUUUGUACAACAAUGUACAUUGUACUUGUCCAAAGCAGCUUACAAACCAAGAGUUUCUAGGGAACAACAACACAAAAUAUCAGUUUGGGAGGAAAAUCAGUAGAUAAAUACGUAAAUAUCCAUAAAUGAUCUACAUUGAUUCAGAACCAAAAGCAGUUUGGUUAGAUUCUGCUCUCGUGUGUGAGCCUGAAAUAGCAAUUGUUCUUUAGAUGAAUGAUGAUUUUUGUCGCCAAAUGAUAGAAACAGGUGAGCUUAACAGGUGUAAGAUUUAGCCAGUGCCUAAAUCUUUAGCCAGAGUGGGCCUCUACCAUCGUGGAACCUUAGCCCCCAUUCCACUGGAACAGAGGAACCCCUCUGUCCAGAUUGGGAGCCCUGUCCCUAUGCCAUCAGCUGCAAACAAGGGAAUGCUUCUGGUCCCCCAGCAGGUAGAACCCCAAACCCCCCUGGGACCUACUUGUACAGAAGUGGUUGCAAACAGAAAUCAACAAAAGUCAGGCCUCUUUGCAGAGGAUAUAAUUUUAUGCACCUCUGACCCUAUCACAGCAGGAAAAAUACUAUGUACAGAGUUGGAACAGUUCUCCAGGGUCUCAGGAUUGCAAGAAACUUUUAAGAAAGCAGAGGUAAUGCUUUUUCAUACACCACCCCAUUCAUAUACAACAGACGUUUACGGCAAUGUUGAAGACUCCAAUAGCUAGGAAAAGUUUUAGGUAUCUGGGGGUGCAAAUUCCCCAAAAUUUGAACAAACAAGUUGCAUCAGUUUAAUUACACUACAUAAGAGAAAACUAAAAUGUUAUCUUAAAGAUUUCAAAACAAAACAUCACAAAGGAGGUCAACUACAGAACACGUAUUUAAUAUAGUAAAGCUAGUGAGUCUGGACCCAGCCCCCUAGGCGAGGUGGAAAGGGCCUUGCGGGGAGCGGCCUUCACGCCCCACAGCCGGGCGAUGUUCCUCUGGCCUCAUGAGGAGCCUCUUCGGUGGGGCUGAUGAUGCAUUUUCUAUGCCUAGCUAUGAAUAAACCAGAUCAAUGCCAGUAACAUGCUUUAUUGGUCCUCCCAUGAAAUGAAUUUGUAGAGAGACAGGCCACGAGAUGGAGUCGACAUGCAGAUGAGAUUGCUGUGGAAAUUAAUCUGAAGCAGUGGCGGACUUUGAACUCUCAAAUUUGAGUGGCACCCUGUGCAAUGCUAAAAUUCAGCGACCCUCACCCCCACCUCUUGCACUCUGUUGUACAUCAUUGCUGCAGCGUCUCCUGUGGUGCUGGUGCAAAUAUGUAAGACCAAACCAGUUGCUCUACCCUGAAACCACCUCUGUCUGAAGGUAGGGUAGUCCUCUUAGCACUUCUUUGGUCUGUUCAGGUCAGAGCCCAAUCUGUAGCUUCCUGAACUCCUCUUACAAGCUCAAAGCAAGUUGGGUAAGUAGGUGGGACAGACCCUGAGAUAGCAUAAUACUUAGUUAGAUAAAGACUUCUAAAGUCGAGCCUAUAUUAAAGGGAUUGUAAUAAAGCAAGUAAGAGAUAUAGGUGGUAACAGUAAAAACAAAACAAAAAAGCAGUGGAUAUAAAGUAGUCCUUACACUUGAUUUGGUCCUAAGCUUAGCUUCAGUAAGUUUUAUACAACAAUGUGCCAAUAGUGUGGGUUCCAUCAUGGAAGGGAACAAGGAAGUUUCUCUAAGAAACAUGGACAGUUUGAAGAAUCUUAGAGAUGGAACCCACACCAUUGGCACAUUGUUUAUGUUGUUUUCCAGGCUGGGGACGAUGAGUCAACCACAGUCAGAUGAAGCUCUGGGAUUCUUAGGUUCCACAUGUGCACAUGGAUGGCAAUAUUUAGCACACAUGUUUGUUUGUUUGUUUAUUACAUUUGUAUAUCAUCAUAUACCUGUAGAUCUCAGGGUUCACAUCAUCAUCACCACCAUCAUUUAUUUAUAUGCCACUCAUCUGACUUGGUUACCCCAGCCACUUGGGGCGGCUACCAACAUAUUAAAGCACAGUAAGACAUCAAACAUUAAAAACUUCCCUAUACAGGGCUGCCUUUAGAUGUCU
Podarcis muralis (Common wall lizard) is the source of this 2058-nucleotide non-coding RNA. The record is from RefSeq and is a predicted model, not a curated record. Lineage: Eukaryota; Metazoa; Chordata; Lepidosauria; Squamata; Lacertidae.